This 497-nucleotide ribosomal RNA is filed under the name uncultured bacterium. RNAcentral describes it as "partial 16S ribosomal RNA". It matches the Rfam family "Bacterial small subunit ribosomal RNA", at positions 28 to 507 of the family's 1533-position model. The record is from RNAcentral.
GAUGAACGCUGGCGGCGUGCCUAAUACAUGCAAGUCGAGCGAACAGACGAGGAGCUUGCUCCUCUGACGUUAGCGGCGGACGGGUGAGUAACACGUGGAUAACCUACCUAUAAGACUGGGAUAACUUCGGGAAACCGGAGCUAAUACCGGAUAAUAUAUUGAACCGCAUGGUUCAAUAGUGAAAGACGGUUUUGCUGUCACUUAUAGAUGAAUCCGCGCCGCAUUAGCUAGUUGGUAAGGUAACGGCUUACCAAGGCAACGAUGCGUAGCCGACCUGAGAGGGUGAUCGGCCACACUGGAACUGAGACACGGUCCAGACUCCUACGGGAGGCAGCAGUAGGGAAUCUUCCGCAAUGGGCGAAAGCCUGACGGAGCAACGCCGCGUGAGCGAUGAAGGUCUUCGGAUCGUAAAACUCUGUUAUUAGGGAAGAACAAAUGUGUAAGUAACUAUGCACGUCUUGACGGUACCUAAUCAGAAAGCCACGGCUAACUACGUG